AAAUCGGAGGAGUUACGCAUUCCUACUUUAGCCUGUGCAUUUUAAUGUUGGGAGGGGGGAUUGCCCCGGGCGCCUCGUGUGCCCCGGAUCAGGCGCCCGCCUAGGAACCUUAACUCUUGUUUUAUUUUGGAAUCUUCUGAGUAGUUUUUACAAAUAAAUAAAAACUUUCAACAACGGAUCUCUUGGUUCUGGCAUCGAUGAAGAACGCAGCGAAAUGCGAUAAGUAAUGUGAAUUGCAGAAUUCAGUGAAUCAUCGAAUCUUUGAACGCACAUUGCGCCCGCCAGUAUUCUGGCGGGCAUGCCUGUCUGAGCGUCAUUUCAACCCUCAUGCCCCUAGGGCGUGGUGUUGGGGAUCGGCCAAAGCCCGCGAGGGACGGCCGGCCCCUAAAUCUAGUGGCGGACCCGUCGUGGCCUCCUCUGCGAAGUAGUGAUAUUCCGCAUCGGAGAGCGACGAGCCCCUGCCGUUAAACCCCCAACUUUCCAAGGUUGACCUCAGAUCAGGUAGGAAUACCCGCUGAACUUAAGCAUAUCAAAAGGGGGGAGGAA
RNAcentral lists this ribosomal RNA (546 nucleotides) under Clonostachys sp. 345. RNAcentral describes it as "eukaryotic LSU rRNA". The stretch from base 163 to 316 matches the Rfam family "5.8S ribosomal RNA". The record is from RNAcentral. Lineage: Eukaryota; Fungi; Ascomycota; Sordariomycetes; Hypocreales; Bionectriaceae.